Microcebus murinus (gray mouse lemur) is the source of this 3746-nucleotide non-coding RNA. The record is from RefSeq and is a predicted model, not a curated record. Lineage: Eukaryota; Metazoa; Chordata; Mammalia; Primates; Cheirogaleidae.
GCCAUGGCACUCUAGCAUCGGCGACACAGACUCUAUCUCAAAAAAAAAAAAAGAGAAAAACAGAACUAUAGACAUAAGGAAGGGCUAUGCAAAGGGACAAAUUGUUGGAUUCUUGGGAUUUGUUCUUAUUUUAAAGUUAAAUCUUUGUACUCUUAUCCCUUCUUGUUUGUGGCAAACCAUAUUUAACUGAUCCCCUGACAUUUUCCCAGCUGGAUCAGAGACUGUAGACUUGUUACAGUGUCACUGUAUAAACCUUGAUUUAAGGGAGGCAGUACUAGAGUCACUGUAUGGAAGCAGUUUGCUUCUAAUAGUCAUGAGUACUAAUUUUAUUUUGGUUCCUUUUUUGUGAUUUUAUUAAAUUGGAAAAGUUUUCUCUACGAGGGAUCUUUUGUAUUUUGGACAUGAUCUCUGUUUGGUGGAGUCAAAAGUCGGUCACAUGUCUUGAAUUUAGUCUCACAAUAUUUGGUUUAGUUGGUAAAUCCCAUCAGCUUUGCAAAUAAUUUUGUGAAAACAUUGAUUCAGCUCAUCCUGCCAAAUGUCCCCAUCCCCGCCCACUUAUCUGAGUGCCUUUUCCUCUCACAUCAACCGUCCAUUAGGCCAAGGCAUCGUAAGUGCUUCUGUACUGCAGGUUCAUUUGCCAGUCUCCUGGAGGAAAGUGGCGAGAAUAUUCCAAACUGGAAAUAUAAGAGAGAGAGAGAGAAAGGUUCUUUCCAGUGAUUUAUAAGCCUAGUGCUUAAUAUCUUUAAAGCCCUAGUCAUAUACAUCAACUCUUUCUUAUAACUAGAGCUAGGAAAAGUUCUCUCUUUCUCUGCUGUCAGUAUCCCGGUCAUCCAAGUCCAUAUGCCUACUAGGGUACAGCUGAUUUAUUGCUUUUCCUCAGCAUUUUAGACUGAUUGACUGGGAUGCUUUAUUCAGAUCAGGGAUGCACCAUGGAAAUGUUUUUUGGGGGCACUCCAUUUGGCAUGUUCCCCUCCAGCUGUGAGGACAAAGACCCAUUUGUCUUCCGGGCCCUGGCAGAGGAGGCAGAAGUACCUGCUGGGCUUAGGCAGCAUGUGCCCUAACCAGUGCUCCACCUCUCCAAGUGGUGAAUCAGUCUGACGAUGUGAUGUGCUGAUUUUUUUUUAACACACUAGGGUGGAGACUUGGUAGCCUGUAGGCUGGUGGGGGAGGAGGGAUCGUUUGCAUGUCAAACCAUUCCAACAAUGCUGCUUACAGGAAAAAAUUGCAAAACACCAAAGCCCUGUGCCACCAGAUUUUUCCAUUAGCACCACACUUUACACGGCGUCCAAAUCUGCCGCAGGGACAGCUGUUUGGCAACGUUGAGGGGAAACGGCAGCAUCACAUCCUGGGCUCCAGCGUGGCUGCGUACCUAUCAGCCUGCCCGUCACACACACAGGCCGGAAGGGCGCUAGGACGUUAUAUGGGCACUAGGAAAACUGCAGCUGGAAUUCACAGCACCUCACUCAGGAUGCUGAUUUUAAAUGAAGAAACUUGAGGCAGGACAUCUUCCAGAAAGUUCUGGUGCCUGCAAAAAUCAUGAAGGGCCCGCCCAGCCCCCAAUGGCUUCCAGCAGUCAGAGACCAGCUGUGUCCAAAGAGUUGUGUGAGAAGUAGGGGCCUGUGCUCCACCCCAGCUGUGGUUCCUGGUCCCACCCCUCCCUGCUCCUCAGUUAGUGCUUCGCUCAGAGCACUGUGCUCUUCGCCUAGAUGUCUUUCCCGUGUCUGACAAUACAAGCUUUUCCUAUCCUUCAAGUCCUGCUACCUCUCUUACCUCUCCCAGCAAGUGUUCUCAGAUGCUCCCAACAGGAAUUCAUCUCUUCCUCUAUUCCUAGAAAUUGUGUUUCUAUUAAAGAGUUGCCAACACUUGCUUUUAAUUAAGAGUUAUGGUGGUGUGCCUCACUAAUCUGUAAACUUGAAGGUUUUAAUUGGCAAGAAUCAUGUCCUCUUCUUUGUAUGCCCAUCAUGCCUUGCUUAGUAGUCUUUGUAGAGUCAGCAGAUUCAGCGUUCAACCAAGAAAAGUUUGCAGAGCACCUGCUUUGUGCUGGCAUGGCACAGAGCAGAGAGCAGGCCAGGCGCCUGCUUGAGGAUUUGGGGGAUCGAGCCCUGCCAGUGGCCAGUCUGAUAUUGCUGUAUUGUUUUCCCGUUCCCCUAUAGUUGCCAGUUGAUUGAUCUGUUAAUCAUGUCUGAAGGUUCACCUGGGUAUUUUUCCAGAGUGAGCAGAUGGCUUUCACUACGUCACAUACACACUCCUGUGUUCUGCCUCCUCUCGUGGACGUUAUAGUACCUGCUUUCUGUCCAUCACUUGCUCUAAGGCAGCCUUAAAAAUGUAUUGGCUAUUAAAUGCCUUGGCUUCUAAAAAGAGGUAACCAGGUAUAACUUGGCUGUCCAAGGGGAGAUGGAGGGUUAUUAUCAGAGUCCCUUUAGAAUGUUCUGGCUGCCAUGGCCUUUCCUUGCUCCUUUUGAUGCUUGUCAGCAACUCUACCAGAGAGAGAGCAGGUGGAGCUCCAGUCUGCUAUUAUCUGGUCCAGAUUGGUGGGCUGGUUGACACUGUGGAUAGGAACCCGGGUUAGUGACCUCCAGGUGCCUGGCCAGCAGGCUGCCUGCCGCCUUUCCUGCUGUUUUCUCUAGAAGGUCUCUGAAGACCUAUCACCUCCUUCAGAUGUGGGGAAAUAAACAGUCCUUAUUAUUCUUUAUUUACAGCCUUUGUAGAGUCUUUGUGCUAAUCUAAUUUACGUUCUCAAUUCCCUUAUUUACUUUUGUGGCCUCCCAGUUCUUUGUCAUUUGUGCUCUUUUAAAUGUUGAUUUCAAAUCUUGGAUGAAAAUAUAUUGCCAGACGGUCUCCUCUUUAAACGUGAUAAAGGUCGUAACCGUGGGGCAAGCCAAACUGCAGAGAAAGCCCAACGUGCAGAAACUCAGCAUGACUCCAAUUUUAGGCAUUUACAUGUGUUUGGCAAAGUGCAUUUUGUUGAGUAAAGAAUAAUGAAGGCCAGAGGGUUUUUCUUGUCUUUUAAGACUGGACCAUUCCAUAGAGUCCUCUUCCUAAAUGCUCCUGACAAGAGUCACUCACCUCCCUGUAGCACACCCUCCUUCUAUGGAAUUUGGGGUGGCUUCUCCUUUGAAAAUCUCCCCUUUUGUUAAGUCCUCUCCCAACACCCAGCAUGGUACACACCCAACAGGAGGAGGUAGAGCAGAGCAGGAGCCUUUACCCAACUUGUCCUUUUUAAUCCCAUUAAGUCCUGUCACCACCCCCGUGCCUAAGCCUCAGAGGGAAGGGGUGCAUAAAAGCAGCAUGAAUAAGAUAUCUGAACUCUUUAGGGCUUGGGGGGAGUGUCCAGUGUAGCAGAAACAACCCAGGCCCUCACAGAGGGAUAGCAGAGCAUCCUGCUUUUCCGUCUGUCUCUUUUAAGACAAAUACCCAUAGGUAGCGUUUUUCACAAGGUAAGUCUAAGUGAGAGAAAAAUGGAGGGAGGCACGCGAGGGUGGUGUUUUGAUCUUGUUAUUUUAUUUUUUUAAAUAAGGGCUACAGAAGAGAGUGUACCUAGUUUAUGGCUUUUCCGCACAAUGUAGUAUUAAGUUAGCAGCAGAAUAAGCAGUGGCAGUAGAAUAGCAGGUGCUUAUGGAUGACAUCAGCUGCAUCUGUGAAAUGCCAAAAUAAUCACACCUGCCUUGGUGCAGGGUUGUUGUGGAGAUUAAAUGAGUUGAUGUCUGCGUAAAGCCCUUGGAACAGUGCAGUCCAGAUGAAUUGUG